Molecule: ribosomal RNA, 741 nt
Filed under: Campylobacter coli
Lineage: Bacteria; Pseudomonadati; Campylobacterota; Epsilonproteobacteria; Campylobacterales; Campylobacteraceae
Description: bacterial SSU rRNA
Rfam family: Bacterial small subunit ribosomal RNA
Source: RNAcentral
AGUCCACGCCCUAAACGAUGUACACUAGUUGUUGGGGUGCUAGUCAUCUCAGUAAUGCAGCUAACGCAUUAAGUGUACCGCCUGGGGAGUACGGUCGCAAGAUUAAAACUCAAAGGAAUAGACGGGGACCCGCACAAGCGGUGGAGCAUGUGGUUUAAUUCGAAGAUACGCGAAGAACCUUACCUGGGCUUGAUAUCCUAAGAACCUUUUAGAGAUAAGAGGGUGCUAGCUUGCUAGAACUUAGAGACAGGUGCUGCACGGCUGUCGUCAGCUCGUGUCGUGAGAUGUUGGGUUAAGUCCCGCAACGAGCGCAACCCACGUAUUUAGUUGCUAACGGUUCGGCCGAGCACUCUAAAUAGACUGCCUUCGUAAGGAGGAGGAAGGUGUGGACGACGUCAAGUCAUCAUGGCCCUUAUGCCCAGGGCGACACACGUGCUACAAUGGCAUAUACAAUGAGACGCAAUACCGCGAGGUGGAGCAAAUCUAUAAAAUAUGUCCCAGUUCGGAUUGUUCUCUGCAACUCGAGAGCAUGAAGCCGGAAUCGCUAGUAAUCGUAGAUCAGCCAUGCUACGGUGAAUACGUUCCCGGGUCUUGUACUCACCGCCCGUCACACCAUGGGAGUUGAUUUCACUCGAAGCCGGAAUACUAAACUAGUUACCGUCCACAGUGGAAUCAGCGACUGGGGUGAAGUCGUAACAAGGUAACCGUAGGAGAACCUGCGGUUGGAUCACCUCCUUUCUA